RNAcentral lists this ribosomal RNA (751 nucleotides) under uncultured marine bacterium. Its description in RNAcentral is "bacterial SSU rRNA". It matches the Rfam family "Bacterial small subunit ribosomal RNA", at positions 574 to 1324 of the family's 1533-position model. The record is from RNAcentral.
GGCGGUUUGUUAAGCGAGAUGUGAAAGCCCCGGGCUCAACCUGGGAACUGCAUUUCGAACUGGCAAACUAGAGUUCUUGAGAGGGUGGUAGAAUUUCAGGUGUAGCGGUGAAAUGCGUAGAGAUCUGAAGGAAUACCAGUGGCGAAGGCGGCCACCUGGCAAGUAACUGACGCUCAGAUGCGAAAGCGUGGGUAGCAAACGGGAUUAGAUACCCCGGUAGUCCACGCCGUAAACGAUGUCUACUCGGAGUUUGGUUCCUUGCGAACUGGGCUCUUAAGCUAACGCAUUAAGUAGACCGCCUGGGGAGUACGGCCGCAAGGUUAAAACUCAAAUGAAUUGACGGGGGCCCGCACAAGCGGUGGAGCAUGUGGUUUAAUUCGAUGCAACGCGAAGAACCUUACCUACUCUUGACAUCCACAGAAUCUGGUAGAGAUACCUCAGUGCCUUCGGGAACUGUGAGACAGGUGCUGCAUGGCUGUCGUCAGCUCGUGUUGUGAAAUGUUGGGUUAAGUCCCGCAACGAGCGCAACCCUUAUCCUUAUUUGCCAGCACGUAAUGGUGGGAACUCUAAGGAGACUGCCGGUGAUAAACCGGAGGAAGGUGGGGACGACGUCAAGUCAUCAUGGCCCUUACGAGUAGGGCUACACACGUGCUACAAUGGCGCAUACAAAGGGCUGCAAACCAGCGAUGGUAAGCGAAUCCCAUAAAGUGCGUCGUAGUCCGGAUUGGGGUCUGCAACUCGACCCCAUGAA